GAGGAAUAUUGGUCAAUGGGCGCAAGCCUGAACCAGCCAUCCCGCGUGCAGGAAGACGGCGCUAUGCGUUGUAAACUGCUUUUCCAGGGAGAGAAACUUGCGCACGUGUUGCGCAAUUGACGGUACCCUGGGAAUAAGCAUCGGCUAACUCCGUGCCAGCAGCCGCGGUAAUACGGAGGAUGCGAGCGUUAUCCGGAUUCAUUGGGUUUAAAGGGUGCGUAGGCGGACUAUUAAGUCAGUGGUGAAAUCCUGCAGCUUAACUGCAGAACUGCCAUUGAUACUGAUAGUCUUGAGUUUGGUUAAGGUAGGCGGAAUGUGUAAUGUAGCGGUGAAAUGCUUAGAUAUUACACAGAACACCAAUUGCGUAGGCAGCUUACUGAGCCGACACUGACGCUGAGGCGCGAAAGCGUGGGGAUCGAACAG
Molecule: ribosomal RNA, 423 nt
Filed under: uncultured bacterium
Lineage: Bacteria
Description: bacterial SSU rRNA
Rfam family: Bacterial small subunit ribosomal RNA
Source: RNAcentral